CGUUGAUAAAAUAUUAAACUGUUAUUCAAAGAAUUAUAGAUGAACAUCUCCUUUAUGCAACCGCUGUGACAGAUUUCAAUAAAGCUUUACUGGGAAAGCACACUUUGCAAUAAUCUGAGUACGGCGCUCAGAAACAUACACCAGGCAAUACAGAUACCCGCCAUUUUGGAAUGAAGAGGAGAGGCCGUGUACUGGCUGAUUUAGGAGAGAUGAAGAGGAGAGGCUGAUUUAGGAGAGAUGAAGAGGAGAGGCUGAUUUAGGAGAGAUGAAGAGGAGAGGCCGUGUACUGGCUGAUUUAGGAGAGAUGAAGAGGAGAGGCUGAUUUAGGAGAGAUGAAGAGGAG
This 343-nucleotide long non-coding RNA is filed under the name Salmo salar (Atlantic salmon). RNAcentral describes it as "lncRNA (ENSSSAG00000106319.1)". The record is from RNAcentral. Lineage: Eukaryota; Metazoa; Chordata; Actinopteri; Salmoniformes; Salmonidae.